CCUACGGGUGGCAGCAGUGGGGAAUAUUGCACAAUGGGGGAAACCCUGAUGCAGCGACGCCGCGUGAGUGAAGAAGUAUUUCGGUAUUUAAAGCUCUAUUUGCAGGGAAGAAAAUGACGGUACCUGUCUCAGAAGCCCCGGCUAACUCCAUGCCCGAACCCGCGGUAUUACGUCGGGGGCAAGCGUUAUCCGGAUGUACUGGGUGUAAAAGGAGAGUAGUCGGCCUGUAAAGUCCGAAGUGAAAGCCCAGGGCUCAACCCUGGAACUGCUUUUGAAACCGGCGGGGUGGAGUAGAGGAGAGGUAGGCGGAAUUCAUAGUGUAGCGGUGAAAUGCGUAGAUAUUAGGAGGAACACCAGUGGCGAAGGCGGCUUACUGGACUGUAACUGACGUUGAGGCUCGAAAGCGUGGGGAGCAAACAGGAUUAGAUACCCCUGUAGUC
This 440-nucleotide ribosomal RNA is filed under the name uncultured bacterium. RNAcentral describes it as "partial 16S ribosomal RNA". It matches the Rfam family "Bacterial small subunit ribosomal RNA", at positions 338 to 795 of the family's 1533-position model. The record is from RNAcentral.